AGAGUUUGAUCAUGGCUCAGGACGAACGCUGGCGGCGCGCUUUAUACAUGCAAGUCGAACGAGAAGCCAGAGCUUGCUCUGGUGGAAAGUGGCGAACGGGUGAGUAACACGUGAGAAACCUGCCCCAAAGACUGGGAUAAGCCGAGGAAACUUGGUCUAAUACCGGAUACCUUCUUUUAUCACAUGUUAAAAAGAAGAAAUGCUCCGGCGCUUUGGGAUGGUCUCGCGACCUAUCAGCUUGUUAGUGAGGUAAAAGCUCACCAAGGCAUCGACGGGUAGCUGGUCUGAGAGGAUGUCCAGCCACAUUGGGACUGAGAUACGGCCCAAACUCCUACGGGAGGCAGCAGUAGGGAAUCUUGCACAAUGAGGGAAACCUUGAUGCAGCGACGCCGCGUGCGGGACGAAGGCCCUAGGGUUGUAAACCGCUUUCAGUAGGGACGAAAGUGACGGUACCUACAGAAGAAGCCCCGGCCAACUAUGUG
This 482-nucleotide ribosomal RNA is filed under the name uncultured bacterium. RNAcentral's name for it is "bacterial SSU rRNA". It matches the Rfam family "Bacterial small subunit ribosomal RNA", at positions 8 to 507 of the family's 1533-position model. The record is from RNAcentral.